UACAGAGGUCUCAAGCGUUGUUCGGAUUCAUUGGGCGUAAAGGGUGCGUAGGCGGCGAGGUAAGUCGGAUGUGAAAUCCCGGGGCUCAACCCCGGAACUGCAUUCGAUACUGCUUUGCUUGAGUACUGGAGAGGAGACUGGAAUUUACGGUGUAGCAGUGAAAUGCGUAGAUAUCGUAAGGAAGACCAGUGGCGAAGGCGAGUCUCUGGACAGUUCCUGACGCUGAGGCACGAAGGUCAGGGGAGCAAACGGG
RNAcentral lists this ribosomal RNA (253 nucleotides) under uncultured bacterium. RNAcentral's name for it is "partial 16S ribosomal RNA". It matches the Rfam family "Bacterial small subunit ribosomal RNA", at positions 524 to 776 of the family's 1533-position model. The record is from RNAcentral.